UCUGAUGCAGCGAUGCCGCGUGAGUGAAGAAGGCCUUUGGGUUGUAAAGCUCUUUCGUCGGGGAAGAAAAUGACUGUACCCGAAUAAGAAGGUCCGGCUAACUUCGUGCCAGCAGCCGCGGUAAUACGAAGGGACCUAGCGUAGUUCGGAAUUACUGGGCUUAAAGAGUUCGUAGGUGGUUGAAAAAGUUGGUGGUGAAAUCCCAGAGCUUAACUCUGGAACUGCCAUCAAAACUUUUCAGCUAGAGUAUGAUAGAGGAAAGCAGAAUUUCUAGUGUAGAGGUGAAAUUCGUAGAUAUUAGAAAGAAUACCAAUUGCGAAGGCAGCUUUCUGGAUCAUUACUGACACUGAGGAACGAAAGCAUGGGUAGCGAAGAGGAUUAGAUACCCUCGUAGUCCAUGCCGUAAACGAUGUGUGUUAGACGUUGGAAAUUUAUUUUCAGUGUCGCAGGGAAACCGAUAAACACACCGCCUGGGGAGUACGACCGCAAGGUUAAAACUCAAAUGAA
Molecule: ribosomal RNA, 507 nt
Filed under: uncultured bacterium
Lineage: Bacteria
Description: bacterial SSU rRNA
Rfam family: Bacterial small subunit ribosomal RNA
Source: RNAcentral